This is a long non-coding RNA of Oreochromis niloticus (Nile tilapia), 1710 nucleotides long. RefSeq lists it as uncharacterized. The transcript has 4 exons. The record is from RefSeq and is a predicted model, not a curated record. Lineage: Eukaryota; Metazoa; Chordata; Actinopteri; Cichliformes; Cichlidae.
GUGACAUCAGCGGUCAUGGAGAGUCUCCAUCCAGCUGGAUCACUGUCACAGACAAACACACCACCACACCUCCACCUACAUCCACAACUCCGGCUUCAUCCACUUCUCCUCCAUCACUGUCCUCCACUGCUCUCUCUGUGUUGUCAUUUCUUAAAUCGAUCUGUGGGUUCUUACUGGUGUUACUGGUUCUGUUAGGGAGACCAUGUGUUCACAGGAAAACUGAAGUUAAUGGAGGAGACGUUAGUGAUGACAUCACGUACAGUCACAGAAAAUCGCAAGUCAUCAACAACAGCCAAUCAGAGGAAGCAGAGAGAGUGAUCCUGUUCCCGUCCACUCAGCCCUGAGAACUGAAGACAUCAUUUAUGGACAAACAGCUGUCAGAACAAACAGGCCCCGAGGUACAGCUGCUCUUUAUCCACUAAAAGCAGAAUAAUUCUUAUUUCAGAAUAUCACUGGUGUCAUGUUAUGAAUUAUAACUGUUACAUACUACAGUAAUGCUUUAUUGUCAUCAAGAAUUCUGACUUUAUGUUUACUGUGCAGGACAGAAGAAACGAGAUGUAUUUUGUACAUUUGUGUCAUGAUUAUUUUUAUUGAAAUGAUCUCAUGAGAAAUGUGUCCAAACCCUUUCACUGGUAUGGUCUGAAUUUAAAAUGUUCAAAGUACAAAAGUACAAAAGUAUAGGAUCAGCAGAAUUUGCCCCAAGAAUGAAAGUAAAACUAGAGCUUAUGACUUAUAUCUGAUUUUAUCCUACUGUACAUUACAUUACUGUUCCUUGUAUUCAUGAAGGGAACAUGUCCACAACAGUCUUUAGUCUGUCCAUGAGACAACUACUACUAUUUUCAUAGAAGAGCUUCUUUUUUUUUUUACAAAGCAGUUUCUCUAAGUUUUUUUUUUCCACACAGACAUAUUUUAAACUCCUGAUGUGACAUCAUAACAGCUCUGCUUGGUGUUUCAUGUAUCCUCUGCAAAAAUGAGGCUCUUUAAUGUGAUGUAGGGUUUGUCUCUUUUGUUUAAUAGAAGUGAGCAUGAAGAUUAUUAAGUUGUUUUCCUUUGCCUCUGUUUCUUUUUAUAAAUAGUUGAAUAUCAUAAACUAUACAACAGCAUGUGACAGAUCUGACAAACUCAGCAGGUCAAUUGUAAAAAUCACUUUUAUAAAGAUGAAAUCACAUCAGCAGCAUCCUCCACCUGUAAGCUGUAAACAUCUUGUAAACUGUAUGAACAUAGGGAGAUUUGUCCUCUCAGUAAUUGAUUUUAGUAAGUUUAUUUCGCAUUUUGUAGUUAACAUUUUUUUGUGCGGCUGUUUUGGCUGUUAAUAGGUUAAACUUGACCUUAUAGUUGGGUGUGUGAUAGAGAGCGAAUUGAAAUCACUUUCAUGUCAAAAAUAUUGUCAGGUGCAGGUGCUGUGCAAUAUAAUACUUUACACUUUUUAUUUAUUAUUUAAUCCUUCACAUUUACGUCAUACUUACUUCAUGCUUAAUACUGAAACUUCUUUAAAUUCCUCCCAAAUUUAGAGCUGAUCUGUUUAACUUUAAACUGAACUCACACAUAUACUGUCUGUAUACAGUGUAACUAAAAGUAACUAAAAUAUAAAUGUAAUGCAUUGUUUUGAAUGUCCUCUGUAGCUUUGCUCUUUGUGUGGCACCGUGCAGUUGAUUCUACAGUGUUGUCCUGCUUUCUCUGCAGCAUUAAUAAACUUUGCUGUCACAUGUU